Molecule: ribosomal RNA, 34 nt
Filed under: Guapira opposita
Lineage: Eukaryota; Viridiplantae; Streptophyta; Magnoliopsida; Caryophyllales; Nyctaginaceae
Description: partial 26S ribosomal RNA
Source: RNAcentral
GCGACCCCAGGUCAGGCGGGGCUACCCGCUGAGU